GUGGAUUAGAUACCCGAGUAGUCCACGCCCUAAACGAUGAUGACUAGUUGUUGGAGGAGUUAAAUCCUUUAGUAACGCAGCUAACGCGCGAAGUCAUCCGCCUGGGGAGUACGGUCGCAAGAUUAAAACUCAAAGGAAUUGACGGGGGCCCGCACAAGCGGUGGAUGAUGUGGUUUAAUUCGACGCAACGCGAAAAACCUUACCUACCCUUGACAUGUACGGAAUCCUGCAGAGAUGCAGGAGUGCCCGAAAGGGAGCCGUAACACAGGUGCUGCACGGUCGUCGCCAGCU
RNAcentral lists this ribosomal RNA (291 nucleotides) under uncultured bacterium. Its description in RNAcentral is "partial 16S ribosomal RNA". It matches the Rfam family "Bacterial small subunit ribosomal RNA", at positions 773 to 1060 of the family's 1533-position model. The record is from RNAcentral.